RNAcentral lists this ribosomal RNA (252 nucleotides) under uncultured bacterium. RNAcentral describes it as "partial 16S ribosomal RNA". It matches the Rfam family "Bacterial small subunit ribosomal RNA", at positions 525 to 776 of the family's 1533-position model. The record is from RNAcentral.
ACGGAGGGCGCUAGCGUUGUUCGGAAUCACUGGGCGUAAAGGGCGCGUAGGCGGCCAUGUAAGUCGAGGGUGAAAGCCCGGGGCUCAACCCCGGAACGGCCUUCGAGACUGCGUGGCUAGAGGACGGAAGAGGAGAGUGGAAUACCCAGUGUAGAGGUGAAAUUCGUAGAUAUUGGGUGGAACACCAGUGGCGAAAGCGGCUCUCUGGUCCGGAUCUGACGCUGAGGCGCGAAAGCGUGGGGAGCAAACAGG